GCUGAUAUAGCUUAUUAGGUAGAGCACAUUCUUGGUAAGAAUGAAGGUCUCAGUUCAAUUCUGGGUAUCAGCA
RNAcentral lists this transfer RNA (73 nucleotides) under Enterobacteriaceae endosymbiont of Donacia proxima. RNAcentral describes it as "tRNA-Thr". It matches the Rfam family "tRNA". Rfam says of the family: Transfer RNA (tRNA) molecules are approximately 80 nucleotides in length. Their secondary structure includes four short double-helical elements and three loops (D, anti-codon, and T loops). Further hydrogen bonds mediate the characteristic L-shaped molecular structure. tRNAs have two regions of fundamental functional importance: the anti-codon, which is responsible for specific mRNA codon recognition, and the 3' end, to which the tRNAs corresponding amino acid is attached (by aminoacyl-tRNA synthetases). tRNAs cope with the degeneracy of the genetic code in two manners: having more than one tRNA (with a specific anti-codon) for a particular amino acid; and 'wobble' base-pairing, i.e. permitting non-standard base-pairing at the 3rd anti-codon position. The record is from RNAcentral. Lineage: Bacteria; Pseudomonadati; Pseudomonadota; Gammaproteobacteria; Enterobacterales; Enterobacteriaceae.